MicroRNA precursor from Cavia porcellus (domestic guinea pig), 83 nucleotides. Ensembl annotates it as microRNA 208a. Its record names the gene MIR208A. The record is from Ensembl. Lineage: Eukaryota; Metazoa; Chordata; Mammalia; Rodentia; Caviidae.
UUCCUGUGACGGGCGAGCUUUUGGCCCGGGUUAUACCUAAUGCUCACGUAUAAGACGAGCAAAAAGCUUGUUGGUCAGAGGAG